AAUAAACAGAUCUACAGUACAUUCAAAAUAUAUAUUAUAGACCAAAUUCAAAACUUGCACUGAUGUGAGGCUUGAGUUGUGAACAAAGAGAUAUGGCGUGAUUUGUUACGCAAGAUCGCUUUGAGUCAUGCCAGAUCCCCUUGAUAAGGUUGUCUUCCCUUUAAGAGAAAGAAAUUUAAAGUUUCAUGAAAGUGUACAGGCAAAACUUUCCUCAUGCAACUGUUUUGCCAAAAAUGCAUUUCUUAGAGGAUCACAUGAUCACAUGGGUUAAGAGGUGUGGAACUGGUAUGGGGCUGCUUGGUGAGCAAGGGGUCGAAUCAAUUCAUCAUGAGAUUAAUGACCUCUUACACUUCCACUCCUGUAUAAGACGAAGGCUGCGACAAGCUUGAAAAAGUCAUGUUGGAGCAUCACAGACGUUGCUAUCCUGCAAACAUGACAAAAACACCAAAAGUAAAGAAGCGARAAGUCUGCGAAGAAUAAAGAAAAAUUUAUAUUUUUGCUUUACCAMGUUUCAAAAGCUACUGUAAAUUGAUCGAGAGAUACUAUAAUUAUAAUAUAUCAAUCUGAGGAUAAACAUAAUAAUAAGGUUUACACAAUAUCAGAUUUACAUGUAAAUAGAUUUUAUAUAAAGAUAGAAAUGAAUUUAUAUGAAACUAAAAUUAAAAUGUCCCCAUCAUUGGCUCCAAGAAAGUAAACAACCUGRACAAGAAGCCACACUUGAUUUUGGGUUAACACUUUUAGACGCGUGUAAAAAAAAGCGGGAAAUUACACCGGAAGUCGAGUAAACGAUGAAAGCAAUCGAUUGAUCAAGUAUUCCAACAUCGAAACCAACGCGAAAACAUGGUCCACUUUGCAUCCACAAAAAAUAAUUCAUAAAAAGAAAACACGAUAUGACAAUAAAUACAUAGUUUAUACAUCAAA
Long non-coding RNA from Actinia tenebrosa (Australian red waratah sea anemone), 921 nucleotides. Lineage: Eukaryota; Metazoa; Cnidaria; Anthozoa; Actiniaria; Actiniidae. The record is from RefSeq and is a predicted model, not a curated record.